RNAcentral lists this ribosomal RNA (387 nucleotides) under uncultured bacterium. RNAcentral's name for it is "bacterial SSU rRNA". It matches the Rfam family "Bacterial small subunit ribosomal RNA", at positions 1001 to 1388 of the family's 1533-position model. The record is from RNAcentral.
CAGUAAUGUGGGAAGUUCCUUCGGGAACAGGAACACAGGUGGUGCAUGGUUGUCGUCAGCUCGUGUCGUGAGAUGUUGGGUUAAGUCCCGCAACGAGCGCAACCCUUAUUGUUAGUUGGUACCAUUAAGUUGACCACUCUAGCGAGACUGCCCGGGUUAACCGGGAGGAAGGUGGGGAUGACGUCAAAUCAUCAUGCCCCUUAUGUCUAGGGCUACACACGUGCUACAAUGGCAAGUACAAAGAGAAGCAAUACUGUGAAGUGGAGCAAAACUCAAAAACUUGUCUCAGUUCGGAUUGUAGGCUGAAACUCGCCUACAUGAAGCUGGAGUUGCUAGUAAUCGCGAAUCAGAAUGUCGCGGUGAAUACGUUCCCCGGGUCUUGUACAC